CCAUAGCCCCGAUUGCAGUGGAAAUCCUUUAUUGCUUGCACUCCAAUGAAUACUUAUGACAAAUGGUAAAGCAAAAAAGAUUGCAACGGAAAGCGGGAUUUAGC
Molecule: small RNA, 104 nt
Filed under: Epilithonimonas xixisoli
Lineage: Bacteria; Pseudomonadati; Bacteroidota; Flavobacteriia; Flavobacteriales; Weeksellaceae
Description: Chryseobacterium xixisoli Flavo-1 RNA
Rfam family: Flavo-1 RNA
Source: RNAcentral